UUGCGGACGGGUGAGUAACGCGUGGGCAACCUGCCCCAUACAGGGGGAUAACAGCCGGAAACGGCUGCUAAAACCGCAUAAGCGCACAAGGGCCGCAUGGCCUGGUGUGAAAAACUCCGGUGGUAUGGGAUGGGCCCGCGUCUGAUUAGCUAGUUGGCGGGGGAGAGGCCCACCAAGGCGACGAUCAGUAGCCGACCUGAGAGGGUGGCCGGCCACAUUGGGACUGAGACACGGCCCAAACUCCUACGGAAGGCAGCAG
RNAcentral lists this ribosomal RNA (259 nucleotides) under uncultured bacterium. Its description in RNAcentral is "partial 16S ribosomal RNA". It matches the Rfam family "Bacterial small subunit ribosomal RNA", at positions 96 to 354 of the family's 1533-position model. The record is from RNAcentral.